UCCCACCCAGACUGGCUCCCCGGGUGCCACCCCUCCCCAGGGAGGAUGGAGCCAGGGAGGACGGAGUCCGCCGGCUGGCUGCUGCCCGGCCUGGUAAUGAAUCGUCUCAAAGUUUGCCGCCCGUCUGAAUAGCUUUGCUUCUGAAAGGGAUUUGUGACAAAGGGUACAUUGACAUCCUCCACCAGACAAGAAGGGCUGCCUGCACGCACAGGAAUUGCUGUCCCCACUGUGCAGAGGGAGAAGAUGAGCCCUCCAGGGGGAAAGUGACCUCUCUACGGUGGCACAGCUGGGGGAGGCAGAUCCAGGUUCUUCCCAGCCCAACUGCUCCUCCUGAUCGUUAACUGCUGGAGUCUUCUCCUCACCAAAUAGGGAUGCAAACGUGAUAGCAGGAGCGGGAGCAGUCAUUUAGGACCAUGAGAUGAAAGCUGUCAUUGGGAGGUGGAGCUACAAGAUUGAAGGAGACCGGAGCCCUGACCUGAUGACGUCUCCAUGUCAUCCCUGGAUCAUACUGGAAUGUGUGUGAGAGAGAUCAACUUUUAUCUUGUUGAAGUUUCUGUAUUUUGGGGUUUCUUUGUCCCAGAAACUGAAUCGAUAUACUCACCUUUGCUUGUCUCCAUGGAGCAGUCACUUCUGGGCUGACAUGGAUAUGUCUGGUUACAGCAGGGGCAGGGACUCCACGUAUCAGUGGACUUUGGUGAUCUUUGGGUGGUAUACACACCGUUGUAUGGUCCCUUCCCACAAUGACUUUGAACUUGCUCAUGCAACUUGCCUGGACCAACGGGACAUUAGCAAGCACAAUGGUGGCAAGGCUUGGUAAGCUCUUGCCCAGUGGGACCUGUCAUCUUGGAACACUCACUCUUGGGAUCUUUCUUCUCUGAAACCAAGUGUCAAUCUGGAGAAGCCCAACCUCACCAUAAGGAGGGGCCACCCAGGUAAGAACCCAGGGGAGAACAGAGGCCUUCCCUCAACCCCAGCCUGCACCGACUUGCCAGCACUUGAGCAAAGCCGCUUGGAAGUGGAACUUCCAGUCCGAGCCUCAUGGAACAAAGACGAGCCAUCCUUGCCCCACCUUGUCUGAUUUACAGAAUCAUGAUCAAAUAAAUGGCUGUUUUAAGCUACUAACUUUCGGGGUGGUUUGUUACGCAGCAUUGGAUAACUGAAACACACAUGGAUGGACACGGGCCCUGUUGCUGUCUGAAAAACUCCAUCGUGCUUCUUUCUACUUCAAAAUGGCAAGCAGGUCUUCCUACGCCUGAUACCACGAAGCUAUCCGGGUACUUGCUGUAGCUCUGGAAGCACAGAAGGGGCAGCAGCCUCACAACCCUGCCGGGUGACUGUGGCUUGGCUUAUUGCUCUGACUUGGAGCUCCGGGAAUGGCUGUGGGUUCUGCUGGUCACACUUGCUCUCUAAUGCUGCUGAGGCGCCCUGUCCCUCAUAGAGGGGCUUGAGGGCAGUAUUCAGAGGACGAGGACUGACGGCCUCAGUGAGGGAUCAGCAGUGCUCACCUGUAUAAGUAUGCAGGACCAGGUGGAGAAAUAAAGAAAUG
Sciurus carolinensis (gray squirrel) is the source of this 1546-nucleotide long non-coding RNA. RefSeq lists it as uncharacterized. NCBI's taxonomy places the organism in Eukaryota, Metazoa, Chordata, Mammalia, Rodentia, Sciuridae. The record is from RefSeq and is a predicted model, not a curated record. The transcript is spliced from 3 exons.